This 468-nucleotide ribosomal RNA is filed under the name uncultured bacterium. RNAcentral describes it as "partial 16S ribosomal RNA". It matches the Rfam family "Bacterial small subunit ribosomal RNA", at positions 28 to 507 of the family's 1533-position model. The record is from RNAcentral.
GACGAACGCUGGCGGCGUGCUUAACACAUGCAAGUCGAACGGAAAGGCCCUGCUUUUGUGGGGUGCUCGAGUGGCGAACGGGUGAGUAACACGUGAGUAACCUGCCCUUGACUUUGGGAUAACUUCAGGAAACUGGGGCUAAUACCGGAUAGGAGCUCCUGCUGCAUGGUGGGGGUUGGAAAGUUUCGGCGGUUGGGGAUGGACUCGCGGCUUAUCAGCUUGUUGGUGGGGUAGUGGCUUACCCAGGCUUUGACGGGUAGGCGGCCUGAGAGGGUGACCGGCCACAUUGGGACUGAGAUACGGCCCAGACUCCUACGGGAGGCAGCAGUGGGAAAUACGGCACAAUGGGCGGAAGCCUGAUGCAGCAACGCCGCGUGCGGGAUGACGGCCUUCGGGUUGUAAACCGCUUUCGCCUGUGACGAAGCGUGAGUGACGGUAAUGGGUAAAGAAGCACCGGCUAACUACGUG